UGGGGAAUCUUGCACAAUGCACGAAAGUGUGAUGCAGCAACGCCGCGUGCGGGAAGACGGCCUUCGGGUUGUAAACCGCUUUCAGUUGGGACGAAGGUUCACGAGUUAAUAGCUUGUUGGACUGACGGUACCUUCACAAGAAGCCCCGGCUAACUACGUGCCAGCAGCCGCGGUAAUACGUAGGGGGCAAGCGUUGUCCGGAAUCAUUGGGCGUAAAGCGCGUGUAGGCGGCUCGAUAAGUCUGCUGUGAAAGUCCAGGGCUCAACCCUGGGAUGCCGGUGGAUACUGUCGAGCUCGAGUCCGGAAGAGGAGUGUGGAAUUCCUGGUGUAGCGGUGAAAUGCGCAGAUAUCAGGAGGAACACCAAUAGCGAAGGCAGCACUCUGGUACGUGACUGACGCUGAGACGCGAAAGCGUGGGGAGCAAACA
RNAcentral lists this ribosomal RNA (427 nucleotides) under uncultured Conexibacter sp. RNAcentral describes it as "bacterial SSU rRNA". It matches the Rfam family "Bacterial small subunit ribosomal RNA", at positions 355 to 774 of the family's 1533-position model. Lineage: Bacteria; Bacillati; Actinomycetota; Thermoleophilia; Solirubrobacterales; Conexibacteraceae. The record is from RNAcentral. RNAcentral also lists the same sequence under 1 other name.